Molecule: microRNA precursor, 201 nt
Filed under: Setaria italica (foxtail millet)
Lineage: Eukaryota; Viridiplantae; Streptophyta; Magnoliopsida; Poales; Poaceae
Description: MIR1435 microRNA precursor family
Rfam family: MIR1435 microRNA precursor family
Source: Rfam by way of RNAcentral
UUAGUUGGUCCUAAGUCAAACUUCUCUAACUUUGAUCCAAGUUUAUAAACAAACAUAUUAAUGUCUACAUUACCGAAUAAAUGCACUAUCAAGACAUAUUUUACGGUAGAUUUUAUGAAACUAAUUUGAUGUUGUGGAUAUUGUUGCAUUUUUUAAUAAACUUGAUCAAAGUUACAGAAGUUUUACUUAGGACAAAACUCA